Molecule: transfer RNA, 87 nt
Filed under: Candidatus Nanosynbacter sp. HMT-352
Lineage: Bacteria; Bacillati; Minisyncoccota; Nanosynbacteria; Nanosynbacterales; Nanosynbacteraceae
Also listed under: 2 other names
Description: Nanosynbacter sp. HMT-352 tRNA-Leu
Rfam family: tRNA
About the family: Transfer RNA (tRNA) molecules are approximately 80 nucleotides in length. Their secondary structure includes four short double-helical elements and three loops (D, anti-codon, and T loops).
Source: RNAcentral
GCGGAUGUGGCGGAAUUGGUAGACGCGCUAGCUUCAGGUGCUAGUGUACGUAAGUACGUGAAGGUUCAAGUCCUUUCAUCCGCACCA